This 402-nucleotide ribosomal RNA is filed under the name uncultured bacterium. RNAcentral describes it as "bacterial SSU rRNA". It matches the Rfam family "Bacterial small subunit ribosomal RNA", at positions 355 to 774 of the family's 1533-position model. The record is from RNAcentral.
UCGGGAAUUUUGGGCAAUGGGCGAAAGCCUGACCCAGCAACGCCGCGUGAGGGAUGAAGUAUUUCGGUAUGUAAACCUCGAAAGAAUGGGAAGAAUAAAUGACGGUACCAUUUACAAGCUCCGGCUAACUACGUGCCAGCAGCCGCGGUAAUACGUAGGGAGCAAGCGUUGUUCGGAUUUACUGGGCGUAAAGGGCGCGUAGGCGGCGCGGUAAGUCACUUGUGAAAUCUCUGAGCUUAACUCAGAACGGCCAAGUGAUACUGCUGUGCUAGAGUGCGGAAGAGGCAACCGGAAUUCUUGGUGUAGCGGUGAAAUGCGUAGAUAUCAAGAGGAACACCUGAGGCGAAGGCGGGUUGCUGGGCCGACACUGACGCUGAUGCGCGAAAGCCAGGGGAGCAAACG